GCCAGGCAUGGUGGUGUGUACCUGUAGUCCCAGCUAUUCGGGAGGCUGAGGCUGGAGGAUCUCUUGAGUCCAGGAGUUCUGGGCUGUAGUGCACUAUGCCCAUCAGGUGUCCAUACUAAGUUUGGCAUCAAUAUGGUGAACUCCCGGGAGUGGGGGACCACCAGGUUGCCUAAGGAGGGGUGAACCGGCUCAGGUCAGAAACAGAGCAGGUCAAAACUCCCAUGCUGAUCAGUAGUGGGAUGGCGCCUGUGAAUAGCCACUGCACUCCAGCCUGGGCAAUGUAGUGAGACACCGUCUCU
RNAcentral lists this signal recognition particle RNA (299 nucleotides) under Saimiri boliviensis boliviensis (Bolivian squirrel monkey). Its description in RNAcentral is "Metazoan signal recognition particle RNA (ENSSBOG00000003331.1)". It matches the Rfam family "Metazoan signal recognition particle RNA". Rfam says of the family: The signal recognition particle (SRP) is a universally conserved ribonucleoprotein. It is involved in the co-translational targeting of proteins to membranes. The record is from RNAcentral. Lineage: Eukaryota; Metazoa; Chordata; Mammalia; Primates; Cebidae.